This 437-nucleotide ribosomal RNA is filed under the name uncultured Clostridium sp. Its description in RNAcentral is "partial 16S ribosomal RNA". It matches the Rfam family "Bacterial small subunit ribosomal RNA", at positions 341 to 792 of the family's 1533-position model. The record is from RNAcentral. Lineage: Bacteria; Bacillati; Bacillota; Clostridia; Eubacteriales; Clostridiaceae.
ACGGGAGGCAGCAGUGGGGAAUAUUGCACAAUGGGGGAAACCCUGAUGCAGCAACGCCGCGUGAGGGAAGAAGGUUUUCGGAUUGUAAACCUCUGUUUUUAGUGAAGAAACAAAUGACGGUAGCUAAAGAGGAAGCCACGGCUAACUACGUGCCAGCAGCCGCGGUAAUACGUAGGUGGCAAGCGUUGUCCGGAAUUACUGGGUGUAAAGGGAGCGCAGGCGGGACUGCAAGUUGGAUGUGAAAUACUGAGGCUUAACCUCGGAACUGCAUCCAAAACUGUAGUUCUUGAGUGAAGUAGAGGUAGGCGGAAUUCCGAGUGUAGCGGUGAAAUGCGUAGAUAUUCGGAGGAACACCAGUGGCGAAGGCGGCCUACUGGGCUUUAACUGACGCUGAGGCUCGAAAGCAUGGGGAGCAAACAGGAUUAGAUACCCUGGUA